This 86-nucleotide transfer RNA is filed under the name Candidatus Freyarchaeota archaeon. Its description in RNAcentral is "tRNA-Ser". It matches the Rfam family "tRNA". Rfam says of the family: Transfer RNA (tRNA) molecules are approximately 80 nucleotides in length. Lineage: Archaea; Promethearchaeati; Candidatus Freyarchaeota. RNAcentral also lists the same sequence under 1 other name. The record is from RNAcentral.
GCAGAGGUAGCCAAGCGGUAAGGCGCUGGCCUGCUAAGCCAGUUCUCCAUUGGAGAGCGCGGGUUCGAAUCCCGUCCUCUGCGCCA